AAAGAUUAAGCCAUGCAUGUCUAAGUAUAAACGAUCUAAUCGUGAAACCGCGAAUGGCUCAUUAUAACAGCUAUAAUUUACUUGAUCUUGACACUAUCCUACUUGGAUAACUGUGGUAAUUCUAGAGCUAAUACAUGCACUAAAGCUCUGACCUCACGGGAAGAGUGCACUUAUUAGAACAAAACCAAGCGGCUUCGGCUGUUUUCGGUUGACUCAUAGUAACUGAGCUGAUCGCACGGUCUUGCACCGGCGACGUGUCUUUCAAGUAUCUGCCGUAUCAACUUUCGAUGGUAGUGUAUCUGACUACCAUGGUGAUCACGCGUAACGGAGAAUAAGGGUUCGGCUCCGGAGAGUUCGCCUGAGAAAUCGCGAACACAUCUAAGGAAGGCAGCAGGCGCGAAAAUUACCCACUCUCAGCACGAGGAGGUAGUGACGAAAAAUAACGAGACCGUUCUCUUAUGAGGCCGGUCAUCGGAAUGGGUACAAUUUAAACCCUUUAACGAGUAUCUAUGAGAGGGCAAGUCUGGUGCCAGCAGCCGCGGUAAUUCCAGCUCUCAAAGUGCAUAGAGUUAUUGCUGCGGUUAAAAAGCUCGUAGUUGGAUCUGUGCCAUAGGACGUGGUCCACCUUCUGGGUGCGUACUAUGUUCCUAGGCUUUUUGCUGGUUUUCCCGUCGUAGCCUUCAUUGGUUGCGGCGGGUGGCUGGCGAGUUUACUUUGAGAAAAUCAGAGUGCUCAACACAGGCGUAUCGCUUGAAUGAUUGUGCAUGGAAUAAUAGAAAAGGAUUUCGGUCCUCUUUUAUUGGUUUUGUGGACUGAGAUAAUGGUUAACAGGGACCAACGGGGGCAUUCGUAUCGCUGCGUGAGAGGUGAAAUUCUUGGACCGUAGCGAGACGCCCUACUGCGAAAGCAUUUGCCAAGAAUG
RNAcentral lists this ribosomal RNA (922 nucleotides) under Chiloplacus propinquus. Its description in RNAcentral is "SSU rRNA". It matches the Rfam family "Eukaryotic small subunit ribosomal RNA", at positions 39 to 966 of the family's 1831-position model. The record is from RNAcentral. Lineage: Eukaryota; Metazoa; Nematoda; Chromadorea; Rhabditida; Cephalobidae.